Molecule: long non-coding RNA, 419 nt
Filed under: Prunus persica (peach)
Lineage: Eukaryota; Viridiplantae; Streptophyta; Magnoliopsida; Rosales; Rosaceae
Description: long non-coding RNA (PPER_LNC003481)
Source: RNAcentral
ACAUCUCUGAAACACUGCCAACAGAAGAUCAAAAUCCAUCUGUAUUCGAGAUUUUGCUCCAAAUCGAUACACCAUCUUCCAAGGAAUUCACGGGUCACGCCUUCUAAAUUAGAACAGGAGACAGGGAGUUGUUCAUAAAAUACAAAAGAAAACCAACCGCCAUAACAUUUAGCCCACACAGACGGUGGCGUUGGUUGAAAUAGAAAGCUGCCACCCAGGAAACCAGGGAAGGGACUGCCUUAGGAGGUAACUACUGAGAGCCUAUCUGCCAUGAUUGAUAAAAAUCCCUUUUACUUUACAUUAUAGGAGAUCUUUUUACCGCCCAUUAUUAAAAUUUAAACAAGAACCACCUCCCUAAGAGGGUCUCUUAUAAAAAAAAAAAGAAAUAGGCAAAGAAGGAGACUCAAUUCAUCAAUCAC